UGCGGUGUAGCUCAACGGCCUCCAGAGCGUCCGUCUUGUAAACGGGAAGAUGUGGGUUCAACUCCCAUCGCCGCAGCCA
This 79-nucleotide transfer RNA is filed under the name Pyrinomonadaceae bacterium. RNAcentral describes it as "tRNA-Thr". It matches the Rfam family "tRNA". Rfam says of the family: Transfer RNA (tRNA) molecules are approximately 80 nucleotides in length. Their secondary structure includes four short double-helical elements and three loops (D, anti-codon, and T loops). The record is from RNAcentral. Lineage: Bacteria; Pseudomonadati; Acidobacteriota; Blastocatellia; Blastocatellales; Pyrinomonadaceae.